CCCCCCCUCUUGGGUUGCAUAGCUGGGCAACAACUAGACUUUUACUUAUACAUCAAGUGAAGACAAUAUGGUCACAAUGAUAUAAGACAACACUUUACUAUAGAUGAUUAUUGAAAGCUAUUUGAUUUUAAAUCUAUACAUUUCAAUACAUAUAUAUUAUGAUCAAUAAAAUUGAUUCUCAAAAUAAAUACAAAUAUCC
This 199-nucleotide long non-coding RNA is filed under the name Elaeis guineensis (African oil palm). RNAcentral describes it as "long non-coding RNA (EGUI_LNC029950)". The record is from RNAcentral. Lineage: Eukaryota; Viridiplantae; Streptophyta; Magnoliopsida; Arecales; Arecaceae.